RNAcentral lists this ribosomal RNA (578 nucleotides) under Trichoderma virens. Its description in RNAcentral is "eukaryotic LSU rRNA". The stretch from base 192 to 345 matches the Rfam family "5.8S ribosomal RNA". Lineage: Eukaryota; Fungi; Ascomycota; Sordariomycetes; Hypocreales; Hypocreaceae. The record is from RNAcentral.
UCGGUCACUCCAACCCAUGUGAACGUUACCAAACUGUUGCCUCGGCGGGAUCUCUGCCCCGGGUGUGUGCAGCCCCGGACCAAGGCGCCCGCCGGAGGACCAACCAAAACUCUUAUUGUAUACCCCCUCGCGGGUUUUUUACUAUCUGAGCCAUCUCGGCGCCCCUCGUGGGCGUUUCGAAAAUGAAUCAAAACUUUCAACAACGGAUCUCUUGGUUCUGGCAUCGAUGAAGAACGCAGCGAAAUGCGAUAAGUAAUGUGAAUUGCAGAAUUCAGUGAAUCAUCGAAUCUUUGAACGCACAUUGCGCCCGCCAGUAUUCUGGCGGGCAUGCCUGUCCGAGCGUCAUUUCAACCCUCGAACCCCUCCGGGGGGUCGGCGUUGGGGAUCGGCCCUUUACGGGGCCGGCCCCGAAAUACUGUUUUUUGUCUCGCCGCAGCCUCUCCUGCGCAGUAGUUUGCACACUCGCAUCGGGAGCGCGGCGCGUCCACAGCCGUUAAACACCCCAAACUUCUGAAAUGUUGACCUCGGAUCAGGUAGGAAUACCCGCUGAACUUAAGCAUAUCAAUAAGCCGGAGGAA